CCUACGGGAGGCAGCAGUGGGGAAUAUUGCACAAUGGGGGAAACCCUGAUGCAGCGACGCCGCGUGAGUGAAGAAGCGUUUCGGCGCGUAAAGCUCUGUCAGCGGGGAAGAAACACGGUUCGCGAGAGCCGCGGACGGUACCCGACCAAGAAGCCCCGGCUAACUACGUGCCAGCAGCCGCGGUAAUACGUAGGGGGCAAGCGUUAUCCGGAUUUACUGGGUGUAAAGGGAGCGUAGACGGCUGUGCAAGUCUGAAGUGAAAGCCCAGGGCUCAACCCUGGGACUGCUUUGGAAACUGUGGAGCUAGAGUGCUGGAGAGGUAAGUGGAAUUCCUAGUGUAGCGGUGAAAUGCGUAGAUAUUAGGAGGAACACCAGUGGCGAAGGCGGCUUACUGGACAGUAACUGACGUUGAGGCUCGAAAGCGUGGGGAGCAAACAGGAUUAGAUACCCCUGUAGUC
RNAcentral lists this ribosomal RNA (458 nucleotides) under uncultured bacterium. Its description in RNAcentral is "partial 16S ribosomal RNA". It matches the Rfam family "Bacterial small subunit ribosomal RNA", at positions 338 to 795 of the family's 1533-position model. The record is from RNAcentral.